This 913-nucleotide ribosomal RNA is filed under the name uncultured archaeon. RNAcentral's name for it is "bacterial SSU rRNA". It matches the Rfam family "Archaeal small subunit ribosomal RNA", at positions 1 to 922 of the family's 1478-position model. The record is from RNAcentral.
AUUCCGGUUGAUCCGCCGGACUGACUGCUAUCGGAUUGAUACUAAGUCACGCGAGUCUUUGUAGCAAUACAAGGCAGACGGCUCAGUAACACGUAGUCAAUCUACCCUAUGGACGGGGAUAACCUCGGGAAACUGGGAAUAAUACCCGACAGAUCAUUAUGCCUGGAAUGGUUUAUGGUUCAAAUGAUUUUUCGCCGUAGGAUGGGACUGCGGUCUAUCAGCUUGUUGGUGAGGUAAUGGCCCACCAAGGCUAUAACAGAUACGGGCUCUGAGAGGAGAAGCCCGGAGAUGGGUACUGAGACACGGACCCAGGCCCUAUGGGGCGCAGCAGGCGAGAAAACUUUGCAAUGUGCGAAAGCACGACAAGGUUAAUCCGAGUGAUUCCUGCUAAAGGAAUCUUUUGUUUGUCAUAAUACCACUAAUGAAUAAGGGGUGGGCAAGUUCUGGUGUCAGCCGCCGCGGUAAAACCAGCACCUCAAGUGGUCAGGAGGAUUAUUGGGCCUAAAGCAUCCGUAGCCGGCUUUGUAAGUUUUCGGUUAAAUCUAUAUGCUCAACAUAUAGGCUGCCGGGAAUACUGCAAAGCUAGGGAGUGGGAGAGGUAGACGGUACUCCGUAGGAAGGGGUAAAAUCCUUUGAUCUAUGGAUGACCACCUGUGGCGAAGGCGGUCUACCAGAACACGUCCGACGGUGAGGGAUGAAAGCUGGGGGAGCAAACCGGAUUAGAUACCCGGGUAGUCCCAGCUGUAAACUAUGCAAACUCAGUGAUGCAUUGGCUUGUGGCCAGUGCAGUGCCGCAGAGAAGUCGUUAAGUUUGCCGCCUGGGAAGUACGUACGCAAGUAUGAAACUUAAAGGAAUUGGCGGGGGAGCACCACAAGGGGUGAAGCCUGCGGUUCAAUUGGAGUCAACGCCGGG